Molecule: non-coding RNA, 18 nt
Filed under: Arabidopsis thaliana (thale cress)
Lineage: Eukaryota; Viridiplantae; Streptophyta; Magnoliopsida; Brassicales; Brassicaceae
Source: RNAcentral
UCCACCAUUGAUAACUGU